Molecule: ribosomal RNA, 240 nt
Filed under: uncultured Burkholderia sp.
Lineage: Bacteria; Pseudomonadati; Pseudomonadota; Betaproteobacteria; Burkholderiales; Burkholderiaceae
Description: partial 16S ribosomal RNA
Rfam family: Bacterial small subunit ribosomal RNA
Source: RNAcentral
UAUCGGAUUACUGGGCGUAAAGCGUGCGUAGGCGGUUCGUUAAGUCCGAUGUGAAAUCCCCGGGCUUAACCUGGGAACUGCAUUGGUGACUGGCGGGCUAGAGUAUGGCAGAGGGGGGUAGAAUUCCACGUGUAGCAGUGAAAUGCGUAGAGAUGUGGAGGAAUACCGAUGGCGAAGGCAGCCCCCUGGGCCAAUACUGACGCUCAUGCACGAAAGCAUGGGGAGCAAAACAGGAUUAAA